UACGUAGGGGGCAAGCGUUGUCCGGAAUUAUUGGGCGUAAAGCGCGCGCAGGCGGUUCCUUAAGUCUGAUGUGAAAUCUCGCGGCUCAACCGCGAGCGGUCAUUGGAAACUGGGGAACUUGAGUACAGAAGAGGAGAGUGGAAUUCCACGUGUAGCGGUGAAAUGCGUAGAUAUGUGGAGGAACACCAGUGGCGAAGGCGACUCUCUGGUCUGUAACUGACGCUGAGGCGCGAAAGCGUGGGGAGCGAACAGG
This 253-nucleotide ribosomal RNA is filed under the name uncultured bacterium. RNAcentral describes it as "partial 16S ribosomal RNA". It matches the Rfam family "Bacterial small subunit ribosomal RNA", at positions 524 to 776 of the family's 1533-position model. The record is from RNAcentral.